Molecule: ribosomal RNA, 724 nt
Filed under: Bacillus thuringiensis
Lineage: Bacteria; Bacillati; Bacillota; Bacilli; Caryophanales; Bacillaceae
Description: bacterial SSU rRNA
Rfam family: Bacterial small subunit ribosomal RNA
Source: RNAcentral
UGCAAGUCGAGCGAAUGGAUUAAGAGCUUGCUCUUAUGAAGUUAGCGGCGGACGGGUGAGUAACACGUGGGUAACCUGCCCAUAAGACUGGGAUAACUCCGGGAAACCGGGGCUAAUACCGGAUAACAUUUUGAACUGCAUGGUUCGAAAUUGAAAGGCGGCUUCGGCUGUCACUUAUGGAUGGACCCGCGUCGCAUUAGCUAGUUGGUGAGGUAACGGCUCACCAAGGCAACGAUGCGUAGCCGACCUGAGAGGGUGAUCGGCCACACUGGGACUGAGACACGGCCCAGACUCCUACGGGAGGCAGCAGUAGGGAAUCUUCCGCAAUGGACGAAAGUCUGACGGAGCAACGCCGCGUGAGUGAUGAAGGCUUUCGGGUCGUAAAACUCUGUUGUUAGGGAAGAACAAGUGCUAGUUGAAUAAGCUGGCACCUUGACGGUACCUAACCAGAAAGCCACGGCUAACUACGUGCCAGCAGCCGCGGUAAUACGUAGGUGGCAAGCGUUAUCCGGAAUUAUUGGGCGUAAAGCGCGCGCAGGUGGUUUCUUAAGUCUGAUGUGAAAGCCCACGGCUCAACCGUGGAGGGUCAUUGGAAACUGGGAGACUUGAGUGCAGAAGAGGAAAGUGGAAUUCCAUGUGUAGCGGUGAAAUGCGUAGAGAUAUGGAGGAACACCAGUGGCGAAGGCGACUUUCUGGUCUGUAACUGACACUGAGGCGCGAAAGC